AACUUGUCUCUUAAUUGGAUAAUAGAAUGAACGAAGACCCCCCUCAAGAAUUUAUUAUAAAAACCCCCCCGAAAUUAGAAUUUUUGUGAAAAUCCUAAAAUGUAGUACUUAGACGAUAAGACCCUAUGAAGCUUAACCAGGGGAGUUAGAAGUUAGAAUAGGAGGCCCCCUUCUUCUGGUUUAAUUGGGGUAAUUUGCAAUAGUAAUAUUAUAACCGCUGGUUUAGCUUAUUGAGCCUAAAGGGAGCAAAAUUAGCUACUCUAGGGAUAACAGCACCAUAGUUAAAAAAGUUCUUAUUAGAAUAACUGC
This 309-nucleotide ribosomal RNA is filed under the name Metridia asymmetrica. Its description in RNAcentral is "partial 16S rRNA". Lineage: Eukaryota; Metazoa; Arthropoda; Copepoda; Calanoida; Metridinidae. The record is from RNAcentral.